GCUGAUUACAUAAUGAGCAUCCUAGUGCCUGAGCUAGGUGAGAGGGGAAGUCCAAUGCGACUAAAAGAAAAUGCCAUCACAAACUUCUUCCAGGACGUUCUGAAAGACCUUGAAAUAACAGGUCAGAAUGAAAACCAGGGGAUGUGUGAGCCUUUGACCCGAGAAGCACCAUAAAGUCAGAAUGAAGGAUGUCUGGAACAACAAAUAAAACAAAUUUGUUCAGUGAACGAUUAACUAUUUUGUAUAAAUCUUAGAUAAUUGUGAAGUCAAUCAACAAAACAGUCACAUAAAAAAAUUGUGUCUGUUCCCCCAUAGCAUUUUGGUUCUUGUAAUUGACCUCAGUUGUCCUGAAAAUUUACAAAACGUGUAUUUUAGGACAAUUGUUUCCAGAUAAGAUUGAAAAGUAAUUUAAGAACUUGACAAGCAUUAAACUGCAAGUGCGAUGCUCAGUUUAUGUUCCUCAGAUCGGUGUGCUUUCAAAUAGUUUCCACAGAUGUAGUACUUUGUCAUUCAAAUGUAAUAUCUUUUCUGUGGAAUUUGGAGUUCUUUACUAGUAUAUUCCUAUUAAAUGGAAGGCAAGAUUCACUUGAUUGAUUUCAGUUUCUGGUUGAUGUUGACAGUUUUUGAAAUAAACCUCAAUCUGA
Long non-coding RNA from Scophthalmus maximus (turbot), 644 nucleotides. RefSeq lists it as uncharacterized. Lineage: Eukaryota; Metazoa; Chordata; Actinopteri; Pleuronectiformes; Scophthalmidae. The transcript has 2 exons. The record is from RefSeq and is a predicted model, not a curated record.